Non-coding RNA from Parelaphostrongylus tenuis, 73 nucleotides. Lineage: Eukaryota; Metazoa; Nematoda; Chromadorea; Rhabditida; Metastrongylidae. The record is from the annotation of a GenBank genome assembly.
CCCUCUGUGGUGUAGUGGUAGCACGUGCCCUCGGUAUGGAGGUAACGUGGGUUCAAAUCCCUUCUGAGGUCAA